Non-coding RNA from Delphinapterus leucas (beluga whale), 2133 nucleotides. NCBI's taxonomy places the organism in Eukaryota, Metazoa, Chordata, Mammalia, Artiodactyla, Monodontidae. The record is from RefSeq and is a predicted model, not a curated record.
UGAUCUCUUCUUCCAUUAUUGAUUUUAUAUAAACUUCUCAAAGGAAUUAACCAAGGAUAUAAAUAGUACCCGUACAUAAUUACCAAGUUCUUGAUAAUUAAAAAAAAUUGGCCUGGUUUACAUGUUAUAUUAGAAGUAAUGUCUUAACAAGAAACUAAUAUUGCAAGCGGUCUUGUGAACUUGACUCAAAAACAGAAGAUCAAAUGGAGAUUUAUUUUGGAGAAUUGAGAAUAUAGUGGUGUAUCAAUGAAUAUCCAUUGGUGGCAUUGCCAUGAAGGUGAGUGUCCAUUUCACAACAGACAGUGUCUUAAGUGCAUUGCUUCUCAACUGUGGCUUACCUCCUUUGGUUCCUCCCUUAACCUGGUUUUCAAGUCUUCCUAACCAUUCUAUAUUAUACCCAUUUCAUGAAUUCCUUUUCUUCUUAAAAUAACUAAUAUCCGUUUUGUUGUGGUGUUUUUUUUUUUUUUAACAACAGCCUGACCAGUACAUGUCCUAAAGGGGAAUCUAAUUCACAUGUCCUCCCAGGAAAGGCAGCUACAGGUCUUAUUUGUAUGCAUAUUUCAUAGGGCUCCCAGGGGAACAAUGAAAAGCACUCUUAGGAUGGAUAGUUAAGCUCUUAAGCACAGGAAUCAAGGAUCAUAGAACUGUAAUUGAUAGUUGGGAGUAAUGUUUUUGCAUAGAAGAAUUCUGAAAGAUGGUGCUCCAAAAUUUCUUAAAAGAUUGACAGUAAAUAUUUUCAGUGCAGAAAACUGACAGGAUUAAUAUCCAGAAGAAAAAACACUUUAAAAGUCAACAAAAAGACAAAAAAUGAGAAUGGAGAGAAAAAUACAGUAAAGGAUGUGAAUAGGUAAAUUACUGAAGAUGAGAUUCAGAUGAUCAGUUGACAUAUGAAGAGAUAUUUGAUUUCAUUAGUAAUCAGUGAAAUUUAAAAUAAGAUGUCUUUUUUCAUUUACCAGAUUAGCAGAGAUGGACAAACCACACAUUUGUGUAUUAUGUAUUGCAAGCAUGUUGAGUGUAAAUUGGGAUAGCUCCUCCUGAGAUGAUUUGGCUGUAUCUAUUAAAACUGAAAAUGGGUAUAAACGGUAACUCAGGAAUUCCUCAUUUUGGUAUCUUCUGAAUAGAAACACACAUGUGCAAAAACAAGUAUGUAUUUUUUUCAAAAACGACAACUAUUGUUAAGGGUGUGAAAAAAUUGGACCCUCAUACACUGCUGGUAGAAAUGUAAAAUGGUGCAGACACUUUGGAAGCUGUCAGUUUCUCAAAACGUUAAGCACCAAAUUACCAUAACCAGCAGUUUUUACUCUUAGAAAUCUGUCCAAUAGUCUUAACAACAUAUGUCUACACCACUUGUACACAAAUACUCAUAGCAGCAUUGUUUAUAAUAGCCAUAAGGUGGAAACAACUGGUGAAACAGAAUGUGGUGUAUCUGUACAAUGGAAUAUUAUUCAGCAAUAAAAAUUAGCAAAGUAUUGAUACAUGCUACAACAUAGAUAAACUACAAAAACAUUAUGCCAAGUGGAAGAAGUGAGACAGGAACGAUUGCAUAUUGUAUAAUUUCAUUUAUGUGAAAAUGACAAAAUCUGUAGAAACAGAAAGUAGAAUAGUGGUUGCUCAGGGCACAUAGUGGGAAUGGAGAAUGACUGCAAAUGGGCAUGAGGUUCCUUUUGGGGUGAUGGAUACUCUAAAAUUAAGUAGUGGAGAUGAUUGUGCAACUAUAACUUCACUUUAAAAAUGCCACCGAGGGCAGAGUCAAGAUGGCAGACUAAGAGUAGCAGAAUUCGUGUCUCUGCACAACUAGGGCCCCUACCAGGCACUGGUGGGGGACCACGGAAACCUAAGGGGAUAGAGAAACUCCCAGCGACCGGCUUGCGGAAUCUUCGUUUCCAGAUCAGAGAUCAGGCCCGAGCUUCUGUGGUGGGAGCUCCGAGUCCAAACUACUGGACUAACAGAGAACCUCAGACCCCAGGGAAUAUUAAUAAGAGUGAGGCCUCCUGUAGAUCCUAAUCUCAGCAUCAGGACAUGGCUCUCUCCAACUGCCUGCAAACUCUAGUGCUUGACAUCUCAGGCCAAACAAUGAGUAAGAGGGGAAUACAGGCCCACCCAUCAAAAAAAAAAAAAAAAAGACAAAAAAAA